Molecule: ribosomal RNA, 433 nt
Filed under: uncultured bacterium
Lineage: Bacteria
Description: partial 16S ribosomal RNA
Rfam family: Bacterial small subunit ribosomal RNA
Source: RNAcentral
AACGAACGCUGGCGGCAUGCCUAACACAUGCAAGUCGAACGAGACCUUCGGGUCUAGUUGCGCACGGGUGCGUAACGCGUGGGAACCUGCCCUUAGGUUCGGAAUAACUCCCCGAAAGGGGUGCUAAUACCGGAUAAUGUCUUCGGACCAAAGAUUUAUCGCCUUUGGAUGGGCCCGCGUUGGAUUAGCUAGUUGGUAGGGUAAAAGCCUACCAAGGCGACGAUCCAUAGCUGGUCUGAGAGGAUGAUCAGCCACACUGGGACUGAGACACGGCCCAGACUCCUACGGGAGGCAGCAGUGGGGAAUAUUGGACAAUGGGCGAAAGACUGAUCCAGCAAUGCCGCGUGAGUGAUGAAGGCCUUAGGGUUGUAAAGCUCUUUUACCCGGGAUGAUAAUGACAGUACCGGGAGAAUAAGCUCCGGCUAACUCCGUG